GGUUAAGCGACUAAGCGUACACGGUGGAUGCCCUGGCAGUCAGAGGCGAUGAAGGACGUGCUAAUCUGCGAUAAGCGUCGGUGAGGUGAUAUGAACCGUUAUAACCGGCGAUUUCCGAAUGGGGAAACCCAGUGUGUUUCGACACACUAUCAUUA
Molecule: ribosomal RNA, 155 nt
Filed under: Escherichia coli
Lineage: Bacteria; Pseudomonadati; Pseudomonadota; Gammaproteobacteria; Enterobacterales; Enterobacteriaceae
Description: partial 23S ribosomal RNA
Rfam family: Bacterial large subunit ribosomal RNA
Source: RNAcentral